RNAcentral lists this long non-coding RNA (735 nucleotides) under Marmota monax (woodchuck). Lineage: Eukaryota; Metazoa; Chordata; Mammalia; Rodentia; Sciuridae. The record is from RNAcentral.
CACACAUCCAUGAACAAUAAGUAGACUAAAGAAAUAAGCAAAAAGGAAACAGAUAUUUUGAGACAAACAAAAAGGGAAACAUAGCAUCCCAAAAUGUAUUGGGGCAGCAAAAGCAGUUCAAAAAGGAAAGUUCACAGGUAUAAUUAUCUACAUGAAGGAAAAAGGAAGAUAUUAAUAAACAACCAAACUUUCUAUCUCAACAAAGUAUGAAAAGAAGAACAAUCUAUUUAAUAGAAGUAAGGAAUCAGCUAACAUCAAAGUAGAAGUAAAUGAAAUAGAGACUGGGAAACAAUAGGAAGAUCAACAAAGUUAAGCAUUGUUUUUAUAAGUGGUCAACAAAAUUGACAAAUAAACUAAAGAAAGGAGAGUGAGGGUUUGAUAAAACCAAACCACAUGAGGAGAUAUUACAAUUGAUGCCCACGCAAGACAAAAUGAGACUCAAUAAUUACACACCAACAAAUUGGAUAAUCUAAAAGAAGUGAAUAAAUUCCUAACCUUAUCAAUAUGGAAUUAUGAAGAAAUAGAAAAACUGAGUGAAUCAGUGACUAAGGAGAAUGAAUCAGUAAUCCAAAAUCUCUCAACAAAGAAAAGCCCAAAUCAGAAGGCUUCCCUGGUGAAUUUUUCCAAAAAUUUAGAAAUCAACUAAUUUGAUCCUUCUCAAACUCUUUCAAAAUACUUCAAAACUCAUUUUAUGACACCAGCACUUCUCUAAAACGAAAGCCAGGUAAGAAUACU